GACGAACGCUGGCGGCGUGCUUAACACAUGCAAGUCGAACGGAAAGGCCCUGCUUUUGUGGGGUGCUCGAGUGGCGCACGGGUGAGUAACACGUGAGUAACCUGCCCUUGACUUUGGGAUAACUUCAGGAAACUGGGGCUAAUACCGGAUAGGAGCUCCUGCUGCAUGGUGGGGGUUGGAAAGUUUCGGCGGUUGGGGAUGGACUCGCGGCUUAUCAGCUUGUUGGUGGGGUAGUGGCUUACCAAGGCUUUGACGGAUAGCCGGCCUGAGAGGGUGACCGGCCACAUUGGGACUGAGAUACGGCCCAGACUCCUACGGGAGGCAGCAGUGGGGAAUAUUGCACAAUGGGCGGAAGCCUGAUGCAGCAACGCCGCGUGCGGGAUGACGGCCUUCGGGUUGUAAACCGCUUUCGCCUGUGACGAAGCGUGAGUGACGGUAAUGGGUAAAGAAGCACCGGCUAACUACGUG
Molecule: ribosomal RNA, 468 nt
Filed under: uncultured bacterium
Lineage: Bacteria
Description: partial 16S ribosomal RNA
Rfam family: Bacterial small subunit ribosomal RNA
Source: RNAcentral